This 396-nucleotide long non-coding RNA is filed under the name Carica papaya (papaya). Its description in RNAcentral is "long non-coding RNA (CPAP_LNC004335)". The record is from RNAcentral. Lineage: Eukaryota; Viridiplantae; Streptophyta; Magnoliopsida; Brassicales; Caricaceae.
CACUUAAGCAUCUUUAUGAGGUUGUCAAGGCAUUCAUCAAAGGAAUCCCAGUAGACUGUGAAGUCAUCAAUAAAAAAUUCUAUGUUUUUUUUCCAUAAAAUCAGAGAAGAUACUGAUCAUGCAUCUCUAGAAGGUUGCAAGUGUAUUGCAAAGGCUGAAUGACAUCCGUCUAUAGGCGAAAGUCUUGAAGGGGUAAGUGAAUGUGGCCUUUUCUUAAUCUUUAAGGGCAACCAGAAUUUGGUAAAACCAUAGUAUCUAUCCAAACAGCAGUAAUGGGUUCUGCUAGCUAGACUUUCUAGCAUCAAUAUAUAAAGGGCAGUGGAAAUUGGUCCUUUCUUGUUGAGGCAUUCAGCUUAUAAUAGUCGAUGCAGACCCUCCAACCAUUUUACACUCUUG